This 72-nucleotide transfer RNA is filed under the name Xylaria arbuscula. RNAcentral's name for it is "tRNA-Glu". It matches the Rfam family "tRNA". Rfam says of the family: Transfer RNA (tRNA) molecules are approximately 80 nucleotides in length. Their secondary structure includes four short double-helical elements and three loops (D, anti-codon, and T loops). Further hydrogen bonds mediate the characteristic L-shaped molecular structure. tRNAs have two regions of fundamental functional importance: the anti-codon, which is responsible for specific mRNA codon recognition, and the 3' end, to which the tRNAs corresponding amino acid is attached (by aminoacyl-tRNA synthetases). tRNAs cope with the degeneracy of the genetic code in two manners: having more than one tRNA (with a specific anti-codon) for a particular amino acid; and 'wobble' base-pairing, i.e. permitting non-standard base-pairing at the 3rd anti-codon position. Lineage: Eukaryota; Fungi; Ascomycota; Sordariomycetes; Xylariales; Xylariaceae. The record is from RNAcentral.
UCUGAUAUGGUGUAGUGGUUAACAUAUCGCGUUUUCACCGCGGGGCCCGGGGUUCGAUUCCCCGUAUCGGAG